GGACUACUAGGGUUUCUAAUCCUGUUUGAUCCCCACGCUUUCGCGCCUCAGCGUCAGUUACAGCCCAGUUGGCCGCCUUCGCCACCGGUGUUCCUCCCAAUAUCUACGAAUUUCACCUCUACACUGGGAAUUCCACCAACCUCUACUGCACUCUAGCCUAACAGUUUCAAAUGCACUUCCGGAGUUAAGCCCCGGGAUUUCACAUCUGACUUGUUAAGCCGCCUACGCGCCCUUUACGCCCAGUAAUUCCGAACAACGCUAGCACCCCCUGUAUUACCGCGGCUGCUGGCAC
RNAcentral lists this ribosomal RNA (292 nucleotides) under uncultured bacterium. RNAcentral's name for it is "partial 16S ribosomal RNA". The record is from RNAcentral.